RNAcentral lists this ribosomal RNA (1203 nucleotides) under Triticum aestivum (bread wheat). RNAcentral describes it as "partial small subunit ribosomal RNA". The record is from RNAcentral. Lineage: Eukaryota; Viridiplantae; Streptophyta; Magnoliopsida; Poales; Poaceae.
AUGAAUUAUGCUCUACUUGCCCAUUAUACCGCGGAAGAUGUUCGCAAGGCUUUAUUCAAUAUUGGGGACUUGAAAGCUCCAGGGCUAGAUGGACUCCAUGCUAUCUUCUAUAAAAGGUUCUGGCCCAUGCUAGGGGAAAACCUAAUUGAGGAGGUUCAGAAAGCAAUCAACACAUGUACUAUCUCGAAUGGUUGGAAUGAUACAGUGAUCGUGAUGAUUCCUAAAAUUAAUACACCAGAAAAGGUAACCCAAUUUAGUCUGAUCAUCUUAUGUAAUGUGGUAUACAAAAUAAUUGCAAAAAUGGUGGCUUCUCGUUUGAAGGCUUUUCUACCAAAAAUUAUUAGUCCAACACAAAGUGCAUUUGUACCAGGUAGAUUGAUAACUAAUAAUAUUUUAGUGGCCUACGAAUGUUUUCACACAAUCAAGAAUAAAAGAGAGGGUAGAGAGGGCUUGUGUGCUAUAAAACUUGACAUGAACAAAGCUUACAAUAGAGUCGAGUGGUCUUUUUUGAAGGAGAUUAUGUUGAAGUUGGUUUUUCAUGGAGAGUGGGUUAAUUUGAUUAUGCAAUGCCUCUCAACUGUAGAAUACAAAGUAAGGAUCAAUGCAGAGGAAAGUGAGGGAUUUAAGCCUACUAGAGGGUUGAGGCAGGGGUGCCCGCUAUCACCAUACCUCUUUCUGUUAUGCACAGAAGGGUUGAAUGCCUUGCUUACGCAUGUUGAGGAGAACAGAAACAUAUUAAGAGUUAAAGUCUGUAGAGACACCUCGCCAGUCAGAAAUCUUCUCUUUGCGGAUGAUACAUUGAUCUUGAUGAAACCCAACUAACAUAAUGCGGCGGCCCUGAAAUCAACACUAGAUUUAUAUUGUGCGGCGUCGGGACAGCUGGUAAGCAUGGAAAAUUCCAGUAUUUUCAGUCCUAAUACAAAGGUAGAGAUCAGAGAACAAUUGAGUAAAAUGCUGAAUAUAAUGAUGGAGGCUCUCAAUGACAAAUACUUGGGCUUGCCAGCAAAUUUGGGUGUUGAUAAAAUAGACUGCUUUAAAUUUCUGAUUGAACGUAUUGUUAAGAAAAUUAGUGGUUGGAAGGAAAAAAUACUAUCUCCGGGGAAGGAGAUCCUGCUCAAGGCUGUGAUCCAAGCCAUACCUACCUAUGUAAUGUCAGUCUUUAAAAUUCCUAAAAAAAUUAUGAAGGAAUCAUUAACGCGAUAG